GGUGAACGCUGGCGGUAGGCCUAACACAUGCAAGUCGAACGGCAGCACAGUAAGAGCUUGCUCUUACGGGUGGCGAGUGGCGGACGGGUGAGGAAUACAUCGGAAUCUACUUUUUCGUGGGGGAUAACGUAGGGAAACUUACGCUAAUACCGCAUACGACCUACGGGUGAAAGCAGGGGAUCUUCGGACCUUGCGCGAUUGAAUGAGCAGAUGUCGGAUUAGCUAGUUGGCUGGGUAAAGGCCCACCAAGGCGACGAUCCGUAGCUGGUCUGAGAGGAUGGGCAGCCACACUGGAACGGAGACACGGUCCGGACUCCUCCGGGAGGGAACAGUGGGGAAAAUUGGACAAGGGGCGCAAGCCUGAUCCAGUCAUACCGCGUGGCUUAAGAAGGCCUUCGGGUUGUAAAGCCCUUCUGUUGGUAAAAAAAAGCAGCAGGUUAAUACCCCGCUGUGCUGACGGUACCCAAAGAAUAAGCACCGGCUAACUUCGUG
This 492-nucleotide ribosomal RNA is filed under the name uncultured bacterium. Its description in RNAcentral is "partial 16S ribosomal RNA". It matches the Rfam family "Bacterial small subunit ribosomal RNA", at positions 28 to 507 of the family's 1533-position model. The record is from RNAcentral.